AGCAGCCGCGGUAAUUCCAGCUCCAAUAGCGUAUAUUAAAGUUGUUGCAGUUAAAAAGCUCGUAGUUGAAUUUCGGAAUCUGUCCGUUGGUCGGGCUUAAUUGUCCGUACUGAUGUGAUGGGUUCUUACCUUCUGAAUAACCAGCAUGUCAUUAAUUUGGUGUGUUGGGGAAGCAGGACUAUUACCUUGAAAAAUUAGAGUGCUCAAAGCAGGCUAGCGCCUGAAUACAUUAGCAUGGAAUAAUAAAAUAGGACGGCAUGGUUCUAUUUUGUUGGUUUCUAGGAUCACCGUAAUGAUUAAUAGGGAUAGUUGGGGGCAUUAGUAUUCAAUUGUCAGAGGUGAAAUUCUUGGAUUUAUUGAAGACUAACUUCUGCGAAAGCAUUUGCCAAGGAUGUUUUCAUUAAUCAAGAACGAAAGUUAGGGGAUCGAAGACGAUCAGAUACCGUCGUAGUCUUAACCAUA
This 462-nucleotide ribosomal RNA is filed under the name uncultured Acaulospora. Its description in RNAcentral is "SSU rRNA". It matches the Rfam family "Eukaryotic small subunit ribosomal RNA", at positions 569 to 1034 of the family's 1831-position model. Lineage: Eukaryota; Fungi; Glomeromycota; Glomeromycetes; Diversisporales; Acaulosporaceae. The record is from RNAcentral.